GACGAACCGUGCGAACGUUGUUCGGAAUCACUGGGCAUAAAGGGCGCGUAGGCGGCAUCAAAAGUCCGGGGUGAAAGCCUCCCGCUUAACGGGAGAAGGGCCUUGGAUACUUUGGUGCUCGAGGGGGGUAGGGGUCGCGGGAACUUCGGGUGGAGCGGUGAAAUGCGUUGAUAUCCGAAGGAACGCCGGUGGCGAAAGCGCGCGACUGGACCCCAUCUGACGCUGAGGCGCGAAAGCCAGGGGAGCGAACGGG
RNAcentral lists this ribosomal RNA (253 nucleotides) under uncultured bacterium. RNAcentral describes it as "partial 16S ribosomal RNA". It matches the Rfam family "Bacterial small subunit ribosomal RNA", at positions 524 to 776 of the family's 1533-position model. The record is from RNAcentral.